UACAGAGGGGGCAAGCGUUGUUCGGAAUUACUGGGCGUAAAGGGCGCGUAGGCGGCCCGCUAAGUCGAAUGUGAAAUCCCCGGGCUCAACCCGGGAACUGCGUCCGAUACUGGCGGGCUUGAAUUCGGGAGAGGGAUGCAGAAUUCCAGGUGUAGCGGUGAAAUGCGUAGAUAUCUGGAGGAACACCGGUGGCGAAGGCGGCAUCCUGGACCGGCACUGACGCUGAGGCGCGAAAGCCAGGGGAGCAAACGGG
RNAcentral lists this ribosomal RNA (253 nucleotides) under uncultured bacterium. RNAcentral describes it as "partial 16S ribosomal RNA". It matches the Rfam family "Bacterial small subunit ribosomal RNA", at positions 524 to 776 of the family's 1533-position model. The record is from RNAcentral.